UACGUAGGUGGCAAGCGUUGUCCGGAUUUAUUGGGUUUAAAGGGUGCGUAGGCGGUUUGGUAAGUCGGGUGUGAAAUCUCCACGCUCAACGUGGAGGGGCCACUCGAUACUGCCAUGACUCGAGUCCGGUAGAGGAGUGUGGAAUUCCCGGUGUAGCGGUGAAAUGCGCAGAUAUCAGGAGGAACACCAGUGGCGAAGGCGGCGCUCUGGGCUGGCACUGACGCUGAGGAGCGAAAGCGUGGGGAGCGAACAGG
RNAcentral lists this ribosomal RNA (254 nucleotides) under uncultured bacterium. RNAcentral's name for it is "partial 16S ribosomal RNA". It matches the Rfam family "Bacterial small subunit ribosomal RNA", at positions 524 to 776 of the family's 1533-position model. The record is from RNAcentral.